UACCCGCAGCACAAGUGGUGGCCAUUAUUAUUGGGCCUAAAGCGUCCGUAGCUGGCCUGUUAGAUGCCUGGGUAAAUCGAUGCGCUCAACGUAUCGAACUCCGGGUAGACCGGCAGGCUUGGGACCGGGAGAGGCGUGAGCUACUCGGGGGGUAGGGGUAAAAUCCUGUAAUCCUCCGGGGAGGACCAGUGGCGAAGGCGUCACGCUAGAACGGCUCCGACAGUGAGGGACGAAGCCCUGGGGCGCAAACCGG
RNAcentral lists this ribosomal RNA (253 nucleotides) under uncultured bacterium. RNAcentral's name for it is "partial 16S ribosomal RNA". It matches the Rfam family "Archaeal small subunit ribosomal RNA", at positions 474 to 727 of the family's 1478-position model. The record is from RNAcentral.